RNAcentral lists this ribosomal RNA (408 nucleotides) under uncultured bacterium. Its description in RNAcentral is "partial 16S ribosomal RNA". It matches the Rfam family "Bacterial small subunit ribosomal RNA", at positions 28 to 526 of the family's 1533-position model. The record is from RNAcentral.
GACGAACGCUGGCGGCGUGCUUAACACAUGCAAGUCGAACGAAGUGGCGAACGGGUGAGUAACGCGUAAUCAACCUGCCCUUCAGAGGGGGAUAACAGUUGGAAACGACUGCUAAUACCGCAUACUGAAGGAGGGGAUUGCGUCUGAUUAGCUAGUUGGAGGGGUAACGGCCCACCAAGGCGAUGAUCAGUAGCCGGGCUGGGAGGAUGGACGGCCAAAAUGGGAAAGAGACAAGGCCCAGACUCCUACGGGAGGCAGCAGUGGGGAAUCUUCCGCAAUGGACGGAAGGCUGACGGAGCAAAGCCGCGGGAGUGAUGACGGCCUUCGGGUUGUAAAGCUCUGUUAAUCGGGACGCGGUACCGGAAUAGAAAGCCACGGCUAACUACGUGCCAGCAGCCGCGGUAAUUC